GACGAACGCUGGCGGCGUGCUUAACACAUGCAAGUCGAACGGAAAGGCCCUGCUUUUGUGGGGUGCUCGAGUGGCGAACGGGUGAGUAACACGUGAGUAACCUGCCCUUGACUUUGGGAUAACUUCAGGAAACUGGGGCUAAUACCGGAUAGGAGCUCCUGCUGCAUGGUGGGGGUUGGAAAGUCUCGGCGGUUGGGGAUGGACUCGCGGCUUAUCAGCUUGUUGGUGGGGUAGUGGCUUACCAAGGCUUUGACGGGUAGCCGGCCUGAGAGGGUGACCGGCCACAUUGGGACUACGAUACGGACCAGUCUCCUACGGGAGGCAGCAGGGGGGAAUAUUGCACAAUGGGCGGAAGCCUGAUGCGGCAACGCCGCGUGCGGGAUGACGGCCUUCGGGGUGUGAACCGCUUUCGCCUGUGACGAAGCGUUAGUGACGGUAAUGGGUAAAGAAGCACCGGCUAACUACGUG
RNAcentral lists this ribosomal RNA (468 nucleotides) under uncultured bacterium. Its description in RNAcentral is "partial 16S ribosomal RNA". It matches the Rfam family "Bacterial small subunit ribosomal RNA", at positions 28 to 507 of the family's 1533-position model. The record is from RNAcentral.